UACGUAGGGGGCUAGCGUUGUCCGGAAUCAUUGGGCGUAAAGGGUGCGUAGGCGGCCUGGUAAGUCUGGCGUGAAAGCCCAGGGCUCAGCCCUGGAAGGGCGCUAGAAACUGCGAGGCUCGAGUGCCGGAGGGGAGAGUGGAAUUCCUGGUGUAGCGGUGAAAUGCGCAGAUAUCAGGAGGAACACCAAUGGCGAAGGCAGCUCGCUGGGACGGUACUGACGCUGAGACGCGAAAGCGUGGGGAGCAAACAGG
Molecule: ribosomal RNA, 253 nt
Filed under: uncultured bacterium
Lineage: Bacteria
Description: partial 16S ribosomal RNA
Rfam family: Bacterial small subunit ribosomal RNA
Source: RNAcentral